Molecule: ribosomal RNA, 318 nt
Filed under: uncultured bacterium
Lineage: Bacteria
Description: partial 16S ribosomal RNA
Source: RNAcentral
ACUAUUGUCACGGGUUACCGCGGCUGCUGGCACGGAGUUAGCCGGUGCUUCUUCUGCGAGUAACGUCACAGAUGUAAGGUAUUAACUUACACCCUUUCCUCCUCGCUGAAAGUGCUUUACAACCCGAAGGCCUUCUUCACACACGCGGCAUGGCUGCAUCUACGGGUUUCCCCCUAUUGUGCAAUACUUCCCCACUGCUCGCCUCCCGUAGGAGUCUGGGCCGUGUCUCAGUCCCAGUGUGGCUGAUCAUCCUCUCAGACCAGCUAGGGAUCGUCGCCUAGGUGAGCCUUUACCUCACCUACUAGCUAACUCCCACCU